Molecule: transfer RNA, 77 nt
Filed under: Bacillota bacterium
Lineage: Bacteria; Bacillati; Bacillota
Description: Firmicutes bacterium (anaerobic digester metagenome) tRNA-Val
Rfam family: tRNA
About the family: Transfer RNA (tRNA) molecules are approximately 80 nucleotides in length.
Source: RNAcentral
GGGGAAUUAGCUCAGCAGGUUAGAGUGCUACGCUCACAUCGUAGAGGCCGUAGGUUCGAGUCCUACAUUCCCCACCA